This 489-nucleotide ribosomal RNA is filed under the name uncultured bacterium. RNAcentral describes it as "partial 16S ribosomal RNA". It matches the Rfam family "Bacterial small subunit ribosomal RNA", at positions 28 to 507 of the family's 1533-position model. The record is from RNAcentral.
GACGAACGCUGGCGGCGUGCUUAACACAUGCAAGUCGAACGAAAAGCCCUUGCUUUUUUCGGGUGCCCAUCUGGGUAACGAGUGAGUGACUCACGAGUAACCUGCCCUUCCUUCUGGGAUAGACUCAGGAAACUAGGGACUACACCUGAUAGAAACUCCCGCUCCAUGGUGGGGGUGGGAAAGUUUCGGCGGCUGGGGAUGAUCAUGCGGCUGAUCAGCUAGUUGGUGGGGUAGUGGCUCACGAAGGCGGUGUCGAGUCGCCGGACUGAGAGGAUGAACGGCCGCACUGAGACUGAGACACGGCCCAGACUCCUACGGGAGGCAGCAGGACGGAAUCUGCCGCAAUGAACGGAAGACUGACCGCGCAACGCCGCGGCAGUAAUGACCACCGUCGGGUUGGAAAGCUCGGUUAUUGGGGAGGAAAGGGCUUCUGGCUGAUACGAAGAAGGAUUGACGGUACCGGAAUAGAAAGCAACGGCUAACUACGUG